RNAcentral lists this ribosomal RNA (252 nucleotides) under uncultured bacterium. RNAcentral's name for it is "partial 16S ribosomal RNA". It matches the Rfam family "Bacterial small subunit ribosomal RNA", at positions 524 to 776 of the family's 1533-position model. The record is from RNAcentral.
UACAGAGGAUGCGAGCGUUAUCCGGAUUUAUUGGGUUUAAAGGGUGCGUAGGCGGGCUUUUAAGUCAGCGGUAAAAAUUCGGGGCUCAACCCCGUCCGGCCGUUGAAACUGGGGGCCUUGAGUGGGCGAGAAGAAGGCGGAAUGCGUGGUGUAGCGGUGAAAUGCAUAGAUAUCACGCAGAACCCCGAUUGCGAAGGCAGCCUUCCGGCGCCCUACUGACGCUGAGGCACGAAAGUGCGGGGAUCGAACAGG